GCUUUCUUAGAAAUAAUAGAAAAAAUUUUGGACUAUUUUCCUAACCCAAUCAAGCUCUCACAACCCACAUUGCCUACCCCUACUUCCUCAUUAUCUAACUCGUCAUUCCCAUUCCCUUUCUUUUACACAUUCUCCCUUUCAAAUUUUGUAAAGAAAUCACCUUUUCUUGAAAAUUAAUCCUGAGAAAUCUGCCCUUAAACUUUCAUUUUCCGCUUUUCGAUUAGUCUCCGUAGAAAGUGCCCUAAAUUUAAACCAUUCUUUACCUUUAAUCGGGAAUUUAGCCGCCAAUUUACGAGUUUCCUUCGCAUUUUGAUGAGGACCAUCCAAGGGCUAUACUUCACUGAGUCAACCACCAGAGUUUCAGCCGUCAAUUUUGCCGCUUUCAACCCUUCAUUGCCACCAGUUUCUUCUUUAUCCUUGUUCGAAAACGAACAAAGCUCCUUCACGUGACCGUUCCUUUCGCAAGAGAAGCAAAUGGAAAGUAAGGAUUCAUAUUUGAUUUUUUGAAGUCUGUCAUUAAUCAUAAUCUAGGAUAUUAAGGGUUUAUCUAAAUUCACAAAAAUUUCCAACCUUGCAAAAUAUCCCCUUAGUGGAUUAUCAGUAUUGAAAUCGAGUUUUGCAACCUUACCUAUUAAAACAUUAAUUUUCUUAAGAAUCUUUUUAUUAUACAGGUAAUCGGGCAAGCCUUGUAGUCGUAUCCACGCCAUGACCAUUGUCGGGAAGGGUUGAAAUGGGUUAAACUCCAUUGUCCACGGUUGAACAUUAAGAUAUUGACAGAAGACGAUUCAAGGUCCCUGGAUAAGAAUUUUCUCAUAAUCUUCUUUGUUUUGUAGUUUUACGAGAAAAUACUCAUUUUCCACAUCCAUGAUUCGAAACGAUUUUGAAGGAUGUCAUAGACUCAGAACCCUAUUUAGCAGAGUGGUAUAGCCAAUGCUAUGUCCCAAGAGCUUAACCACUAUAGUAGUUUCCAUAUCCUUUAAAAGAAACUUUUGAACCCUAUCUGAGAAAGAAAUCGCAAAGAUACCAUUUAUUGAGGAUUUUGUAAAGUCUCAUUCAACAAAAUAAAAAACUACACCACCACUUCCCUUGGAUCUUUCUCGAAGUCAAUUAGCGUGCAAUCAACCCUAUUAGCAUGCCAAUCGUAUCUUAUCCUACGUUCAUUUGGACUCAAUACACAUAUCAAAACAUUUAAUACAAUUCAUUU
RNAcentral lists this long non-coding RNA (1204 nucleotides) under Gossypium barbadense (sea-island cotton). RNAcentral describes it as "long non-coding RNA (GBAR_LNC010799)". Lineage: Eukaryota; Viridiplantae; Streptophyta; Magnoliopsida; Malvales; Malvaceae. The record is from RNAcentral.